Molecule: ribosomal RNA, 433 nt
Filed under: uncultured bacterium
Lineage: Bacteria
Description: partial 16S ribosomal RNA
Rfam family: Bacterial small subunit ribosomal RNA
Source: RNAcentral
AACGAACGCUGGCGGCAUGCCUAACACAUGCAAGUCGAACGAGACCUUCGGGUCUAGUUGCGCACGGCUGCGUAACGCGUGGGAACCUGCCUUUAGGUUCGGAAUAACUCAGAGACAUUUGAGCUAAUACCGGAUGAUGUCUUCGGACCAAAGAUUUAUCGCCUUUAGAUGGGCCCGCGUUGGAUUAGCUUGUUGGUGGGGUAAAGGCCUACCAAGGCGACGAUCCAUAGCUGGGCUGAGAGGAUGAUCAGCCACACUGGGACUGAGACACGGCCCAGACUCCUACGGGAGGCAGCAGUGGAGAAUAUUGGACAAUGGACGAAAGCCUGAUCCAGCAAUGCCGCGUGAGUGAUGAAGGCCUUAGGGUUGUAAAGCUCUUUUACCCGAGAUGAUAAUGACAGUAUCGGGAGAAGAAGCGCCGGCUAACUCCGUG